GACAGAGGGGGCAAGCGUUGCUCGGAAUCACUGGGCGUAAAGGGCGCGUAGGCGGGAUGGCAAGUCGGUCGUGAAAUCCUUCGGCUCAACCGAAGAACGUCGGCCGAUACUGCCGUUCUUGAGGGAUGCAGAGGAGAUUGGAAUUCCCGGUGUAGCGGUGAAAUGUGUAGAGAUCGGGAGGAACACCGGUGGCGAAGGCGGGUCUCUGGGCAAUUCCUGACGCUGAGGCGCGAAAGCGUGGGGAGCAAACGGG
RNAcentral lists this ribosomal RNA (253 nucleotides) under uncultured bacterium. RNAcentral describes it as "partial 16S ribosomal RNA". It matches the Rfam family "Bacterial small subunit ribosomal RNA", at positions 524 to 776 of the family's 1533-position model. The record is from RNAcentral.